ACAGCAGCAGCCGCGGUAAUACAGAGGGUGCGAGCGUUAAUCGGAUUUACUGGGCGUAAAGCGUGCGUAGGCGGCUUCUUAAGUCGGAUGUGAAAUCCCUGAGCUUAACUUAGAAAUUGCAUUCGAUACUGGGAAGCUAGAGUAUGGGAGAGGAUGGUAGAAUUCCAGGUGUAGCGGUGAAAUGCGUAGAGAUCUGGAGGAAUACCGAUGGCGAAGGCAGCCAUCUGGCCUAAUACUGACGCUGAGGUACGAAAGCAUGGGGAGCAAACAGGAUUAGAUACCCCAGUAGUCCCUGUCUCUUAUAC
Molecule: ribosomal RNA, 305 nt
Filed under: uncultured bacterium
Lineage: Bacteria
Description: partial 16S ribosomal RNA
Rfam family: Bacterial small subunit ribosomal RNA
Source: RNAcentral